This 906-nucleotide ribosomal RNA is filed under the name Triticum aestivum (bread wheat). RNAcentral's name for it is "partial small subunit ribosomal RNA". Lineage: Eukaryota; Viridiplantae; Streptophyta; Magnoliopsida; Poales; Poaceae. The record is from RNAcentral.
AUGGAUAAAGGUAAAUCUGGGAAAGCAAAUUGGGAUCCUGUUGCCCAUAAAAUUUUCCUUGACAUUUGUGUUGAAGAAGUGAAUGCAAAUAACCGUUCUGAUGGACAUUUGAGCCCAAUUGGGUAUGAAAAUAUGAUAAGGAAGUUCAGUGAGCGGACAAACAGAAAUUAUGUUCGCAAGCAAUUCAAGAAUAGGUGGGAUUUACUUAAAAAAGAGUACAAUUGUUGGAAGACGUUGAACCAAAAGGCAUCUGGCAUUGGAAUAGAUCCUGUUACUAGGAGCAUUGCGGCUACCGAUGAAUGGUGGGCGAAUGAGAUACAUAGGAAUGAGAUUGCCGCCAAGUUCCGAUAUGCUCCAUUAGUUGAUGAGCAAAGAAUGAGUUUUAUAUUUGAUGACCAUAGUUCGACGAAUGCAUAUGCAAGGGUCGCAACUCCCUCGUCUCAAGUUGAUGCUUCUCAAAUUAACAUUGAAGAGGGUAAUGAGGACGGCUCGGGAUGUGAGUUAGAUGUUAACCAAGUUACACCCACCAAUGUUUCAUCUAAAGGUCGAAAGAAGAGAUCAUGUCCUUAUUCACCGAGUCCCAAGAUGGUCCAAAAGGCGGCAAAAGAUAGUGAUGAUAAAAUGGUAUUUAACCGUAUGGUUGACCUUUGGGAGAGGAGGGAGAUUAGCCGCAAUUCGGCGACGUCUCAAACAAAUGUGGAUCAUGUGAGAGAUGAGAUAAAAGAGAUGACGACCAUGGUGGUGAACGAUGGAGGUCGUCCUGGAAGUGAUGUGUAUUUCUAUGCUCUACAACUGUUUACGAAGAAGGAACAUCGUGAUGUGUUCAGUGCCCUCAAGGAUGAGACUGCUAGUGUGAGGCUUGAAUGGAUCAAGAGGACAUGGGAUCUCUUUAUGAAAAAAGAUUAG